UCCCGCAACGAGCGCAACCCUUUUCCUUAUUUGCCAGCGGGUUAAGCCGGGAACUUUAAGGAUACUGCCAGUGACAAACUGGAGGAAGGCGGGGACGACGUCAAGUCAUCAUGGCCCUUACGACCAGGGCUACACACGUGCUACAAUGGUCGGUACAAAGGGUUGCUACCUAGCGAUAGGAUGCUAAUCUCAAAAAGCCGAUCGUAGUCCGGAUUGGAGUCUGCAACUCGACUCCAUGAAGUCGGAAUCGCUAGUAAUCGCGGAUCAGAAUGCCGCGGUGAAUACGUUCCCGGGCCUU
RNAcentral lists this ribosomal RNA (298 nucleotides) under uncultured Acinetobacter sp. RNAcentral's name for it is "partial 16S ribosomal RNA". It matches the Rfam family "Bacterial small subunit ribosomal RNA", at positions 1085 to 1382 of the family's 1533-position model. Lineage: Bacteria; Pseudomonadati; Pseudomonadota; Gammaproteobacteria; Moraxellales; Moraxellaceae. The record is from RNAcentral.